Molecule: transfer RNA, 71 nt
Filed under: Nanobdellota archaeon
Lineage: Archaea; Nanobdellati; Nanobdellota
Description: tRNA-Trp
Rfam family: tRNA
About the family: Transfer RNA (tRNA) molecules are approximately 80 nucleotides in length. Their secondary structure includes four short double-helical elements and three loops (D, anti-codon, and T loops).
Source: RNAcentral
GGGUCUGUAGUUUAUCGGUAGAAUAUCUGCCUCCAGAGCAGAAGGGAGGGGUUCAAUUCCCUUCAGGCCCA